Molecule: unclassified non-coding RNA, 3130 nt
Filed under: Onthophagus taurus
Lineage: Eukaryota; Metazoa; Arthropoda; Insecta; Coleoptera; Scarabaeidae
Description: alpha-amylase A-like, transcript variant X3
Source: RNAcentral
AGAGAGGGGUCUCUACUAUAAAUAAGUAACAAAGGAUAUGAAUUGUCAGCAGUUGACUCUCACUGGGAGAAGUUAGCUGUUCACAUAUACCACAUAUACCAUUCCAAAAUUUGGAACAUUACAUUUAAUCGUCUAUUUUGAGCCGCCAGUCAUAGAAAUUUCAAUACCACUUUAAUAAUGUUGGUCGGGAUUUUGGGUCAGCCCAUGCUUAGGCCGGGUGUCCAUCGCAGAUGGGAGGGUCUACACGAGCGUCGUUAAGUUAUCAUUUCGGUGAUUUCUUCUUGACGCUCGCGUACCUUACUCACAACAAAUGUACCAAAGAUUAUCCAUAAUUGCGACAUGAGACCACAUAUCGUUGCUUAAAGAAGCUCUCUGUAUCCUACUAACGUAUCCCACUUUUAUGUUACGGGAAGGGGGUGCUCCCUUUGAGCAUACGUGCAAGGAACUUAUCGUUCCUUGUAUUGAGGAUUCUGUCCGAUAUGGAGUCUAUAAACGACUUCAACAUCACGUAUAAGAACGCCAAUGGUACUUGAUUCAAGAUAACUACCAUCAUGUUAUAUAGAUUUUUUUUAAUAAAUGGUUUUUAAGAAUGGUAAAUUUUGUUUUAUUUGUAUUGUAAUUUCAAUGUAUAGUCAAAAAUUUAUUUAAUAGUUUUACAAACCUUUAAUGUAGGCAACCAAGAUUAUAUCAGAUCUAAUAAAUAUAGAGGGAUAUAAAUGAAUCAAGGAGUAUUGAACAAUUUGAUCGUUGAAAAGUCAAAAAAAUUAAUAAAAGAUGCCUUUACGUGCAAGAAAAUCUGUUACGGAUGUUUCAAAUCAUAACUGUACACUUCCCCAAGAAGAAGAUAUAUUGGUGCGAUACAUUUCCGGUGGAUAUUUUGUAAUGUUUAGGAGAUGGAUUAAGAGACAAACAAUGAGAGAAAAUAAUUCACUUGGAAGAUCAUUAUUACAUGAUACACCCAUUCAGUUCGAUGAAAUGUUACUGGGAGUUUAUGAUGAUCAUCGCGAUAACGCUCAUGUUGAUAAUCGUCCCAAUCGUGUUGUGUUGGGAACAUGUUACGAGUGGAGUGUUGGUUCUGCGUAUAACAUUAGACAUUUUGUGUUUUAUAGAUAUAUUAAUCGGAUUUCAAAGUGGUUAUUUGGAUGAUAAAACCAAGAAAAUUAUAUUGUCACAGAAAAAGGUAGCCAUGAAAUAUCUAAAAGGUAGAUUCCUCACAGAUUUUUUGCCGUUAAUUAACUCGGAUAUUAUGAGUGUCUUUAUGGAAUCGCAAUCAACCGAUUCCACAUCAAACAUAUCUGGAACAAAUUCGAUUAGAUUUAUGAAUAUCAUAAAAAUCCUUAGAAUUUUCACAUUGACUGUUUACAUGAACCGAUUACGCGAAUUUUAUCAAUACAGCAUCUUUCGAUUUAAGAUGUUUAAAUUGUUAUUAAUCACGUUUUUAUUACUGUUGUGGGCGACGGGCGUUUUGUUUGUUUUAGCAAGAGAAUCUGAAGAGGAAUGGUUGAUUAACCCGGACGACGAAAAUUAUCUAAACACAAACUUGGUGAUAUGUUUCGUGGAAGUUUUCGACUUCUUUUUCCUGAUCGAUCAUUAUCCGACGAAAAGUUUGAUUCUUUUACCGUUCGAAUUGGCGGCUUUAGCGGUCGGAGUUGUUUUGCAAAUGUACUUUAUUUCACAAAUUCUUCAAUUAGUCGAAAAACACAAAACCAGUGAAAAUAAGUAUAACGACAAAAACAUACAAUUACAUAAUUACGUGCGUAAUAAGCAAGUACCACCAUCAAUCGCAUCAAAGUGCCAAGAUUAUUUCGAUUUUAAAUUUCAAAAAAGUUAUUAUCGUGAAUCUGAAAUUCUACAAACCUUAUCGACUACUUUAAGGUCCGAAAUUAAUUCCCACAUUUGUGAACGACUCCUGGAAAACGUCGACAUCCUAAAAGAUAUGCCCUUUUCAGUUAUCACCAUGCUCACGGGGUUAAUGGAAGAAGAAAUUUAUUUACCCAACGAUAUCAUAACAAGGGCAGGGGAUAUUGGAGAUUGUAUGUAUUUUAUUUCAUCAGGAAUGGUUGCUGUUUAUACACCAGGCGGUAAAGAAAUUUGCCACAUUUCAAACGGUGGUAAUUUCGGAGAAGUUUGCAUGAUUAUGAAACAUACGUCGAGAGUUGCCACAGUUAUUGCUGUUGAUUAUUGUGAUCUCUACGUUUUGUCUAGAAAAUGUUUUCUGUCUGCGAUUAAAACCUAUCCGGAUCUUUAUCGGAAAACAAUGGCGAUUUCCAAGAAAAGAAUGUCUCAAGUUGUUCAAACGCAACACGGGAGAUAUCGACCUGAAGAAUUUUAUGAUAUGCGAACCCCAGAAGGUGUUUUUUAUUUUAAGAAAUCUUUAUACGAAUUAUAAAUUUACAAAGAUACAAUGUCGACCAAUUGUCAUAAUAGAUUCCGAUCUUCCAAGCAUUUUGAAUUGCUUUUCCGUCUUUCCUUUUAAUUAUCCUUUACUUUAUACUUUUCAACUUUAGCAUUAGCCCCGGUUUCAUUGAAAAUUCUCAAACCGGUUAUUGUCACAUUACAUUUUUUAUUAUCGAUUGUAAAUCUGUAACUCCACAUUUUUUUGAGCUUUCAUCACCAUCCAUAUCAACGAUUUCUUGGAGAUACCAAUCACCAACAGCCUGUUAAAAAAUGGUUCAUUAUUUAGAACCAUUUAAAUAUGAUAUUGAGAUUACUGAAGUUCUCGGAUAAGGAAACUUGGACUCUUCAAAAGGAAUCGGUAACAAAGAUUCUUGAUUCUUCGGAAUGGUAUACUGGAUUAAUUGGAUCAGGAACUAGUUAAUUUUCAUGUUUAUUAUUAAAGAUUUCAACGUCAGCUUCAAAAAUAUAUUCAAAUAUUUAAUCUAUGGAUUUUCGUCCAUUCUUCAUCAAAACUCCCAUAUGAUGGAUGGUUUUCGUUCUUGACAUGCUAAGAUUAUCGUUUUCAAUAGUUUCAACCGGACAAACAUGAAUUACAAUAAGAAAUUAAUGAAAAAUAGAAUUUGAGGUUAUGUUACUGUCAAAAUUCUACAAAAUUACUUCGUAUUGACUUUACAUGGAUUAAAUACAAUAAAAAAACGUAAACGGUCAACAAUACAUAAUGAAUUCUAAAAUA